RNAcentral lists this ribosomal RNA (466 nucleotides) under uncultured bacterium. RNAcentral describes it as "partial 16S ribosomal RNA". It matches the Rfam family "Bacterial small subunit ribosomal RNA", at positions 28 to 507 of the family's 1533-position model. The record is from RNAcentral.
GAUGAACGCUGGCGGCGUGCUUAACACAUGCAAGUCGAACGGAAAGGCCCAAGCUUGCUUGGGUACUCGAGUGGCGAGCGGGUGAGUAACACGUGGGUGAUCUGCCCUGCACUUCGGGAUAAGCCUGGGAAACUGGGUCUAAUACCGGAUAGGACCACAUGUUGGAUGGUGUGGUGGAGAGCUUGUCGGGGUGGGAUGAGCUCUGGGCCUAUCGGCUUGUUGGUGGGGUAAUGGCCUACCAAGGCGUCGACGGGUAGCCGGCCAGAGGGGGUGUACGGCCGCCUUGGCACCUAGAUGAGGCACCGACUGCGAAUGGAGGCAGAAGGGGGGAAUCUUGAACAAUGGGCGCCAGGCUGAUGAAGAGAGGCCGCGUGGGGGAUGACGGUCUUGGGGUUGUAAAAACCUUUCGCUAGGGACGACGCGUUAUGUGACGGUACCGGGAGAAGAAGCACCGGCUAACUACGUG